GCACUGGUCGUCUAGCGGCGAAGACUCCGCACCCCGGGCACCGCCGCGUAACGGUGGUCGGCGGCGACGCCGGUUCGAGUCCGGCCCGGUGCU
RNAcentral lists this transfer RNA (93 nucleotides) under Planctomycetaceae bacterium. RNAcentral describes it as "tRNA-OTHER". Lineage: Bacteria; Pseudomonadati; Planctomycetota; Planctomycetia; Planctomycetales; Planctomycetaceae. The record is from RNAcentral.